Molecule: long non-coding RNA, 427 nt
Organism: Oncorhynchus tshawytscha (Chinook salmon)
Lineage: Eukaryota; Metazoa; Chordata; Actinopteri; Salmoniformes; Salmonidae
Source: Ensembl
ACAAAACCCUGGCCUUGAUAGACAACAAAACCCUGGCCUUGAGAGGCGACAAAACCCUGGCCUUGAGAGACGACAAAACCCUGGCCUUGAGAAGCAACAAAACCCUGGCCUUGAGAGGCGACAAAACCCUGGCCUUGAGAGGAGACAAAACCCUGGCCUUGAUAGACAACAAAACCCUGGCCUUGAGAGGCGACAAAACCCUGGCCUUGAGAGGAGACAAAACCCUGGCCUUGAGGCGACAAAACCCUGGCCUUCAGAGGCAACAAAACCCUGGCCUUGAGAGGCGACAAAACCCUGGCCUUGAGAGGCGACAAAACCCUGGCCUUGAGAGGCUACAAAACCCUGGCCUUGAGAGGCUACAAAACUCUUGCCUUGAGAGGAGACAAAACCCUGGCCUUGAGAGGAGACAAAACCCUGGCCUUGCGAG